GACGAACGCUGGCGGCGUGCUUAACACAUGCAAGUCGAACGGAAAGGCCCUGCGUUUGUUGGGUGCUCGAGUGGCGAACGGGUGAGUGACACGUGAGUAACCUGCCCUUGACUUUGGGAUAACUUCAGGAAACUGGGGCUAAUAUCGGAGAGGAUCUCCUGCUGCAUAGGGGGGGUUGGAAAGUGCCGGCUGUGGGGGAUCGGUUCGCUGCUUACCGGCUGGUUUGGCGGGUAGGUGCUUACCAAGGCUUUGACGGGUAGGCGGCCUGAGAGAUUGAACGGCCACAUUGGGACUACGAUACGCCGCAGUAUCGUACGGGAGGCAGCAGUGGGGAGUAUUGCACAAUGGGCGGACGCGAGAUGCAGCAACGCCGCGUGCGGGAUGACCGCUUUCGGGUUGUAAACCGAUUUCGCAUGUGCCGAAGCCUGCGUGACGGUAAUGGGUAAGGAAGCAACGGCUAACUACGUG
RNAcentral lists this ribosomal RNA (468 nucleotides) under uncultured bacterium. RNAcentral's name for it is "partial 16S ribosomal RNA". It matches the Rfam family "Bacterial small subunit ribosomal RNA", at positions 28 to 507 of the family's 1533-position model. The record is from RNAcentral.